Molecule: ribosomal RNA, 502 nt
Filed under: uncultured bacterium
Lineage: Bacteria
Description: bacterial SSU rRNA
Rfam family: Bacterial small subunit ribosomal RNA
Source: RNAcentral
UAGUCCACGCCGUAAACGAUGAUCACUAGUUGCUGGCGAUACACAGUCAGUGACCGAGCGAAAGUAUUAAGUGAUCCACCUGGGGAGUACGAUCGCAAGAUUGAAACUCAAAGGAAUUGACGGGGGCCCGCACAAGCGGAGGAACAUGUGGUUUAAUUCGAUGAUACGCGAGGAACCUUACCUGGGCUCUAAUGCGAGCGCUAUCUGGUGAAAGCCGGAGUUCCUUCGGGACGCGAAGCAAGGUGCUGCAUGGUUGUCGUCAGCUCGUGCCGUGAGGUGUUGGGUUAAGUCCCGCAACGAGCGCAACCCCUAUUGUUAGUUGCCAGCAUUAAGUUGGGGACUCUAACAAGACUGCCCGCGUAAGCGGAGAGGAAGGUGGGGAUGACGUCAAAUCAUCAUGGCCUUUAUGCCCAGGGCGACACACGUGCUACAAUGGUACAUACAGAGGGUUGCCAAGCCGCGAGGUGGAGCUAAUCCCAGAAAGUGUAUCCCAGUUCGGAUC